UACAGAGGGUGCAAGCGUUGUUCGGAAUUAUUGGGCGUAAAGCGCGUGUAGGCGGUGAGGUAUGUCGGGUGUGAAAGCCCUCAGCUUAACUGAGGAAGUGCGCCCGAAACUACCUCGCUGGAGUGCCGGAGAGGAAGGCGGAAUUCCCAGUGUAGAGGUGAAAUUCGUAGAUAUUGGGAGGAACACCAGUGGCGAAAGGGCGGCCCAUUCUGGACGGACACGUG
RNAcentral lists this ribosomal RNA (224 nucleotides) under uncultured bacterium. RNAcentral describes it as "partial 16S ribosomal RNA". It matches the Rfam family "Bacterial small subunit ribosomal RNA", at positions 524 to 747 of the family's 1533-position model. The record is from RNAcentral.